RNAcentral lists this transfer RNA (83 nucleotides) under Alkalinema pantanalense CENA528. Its description in RNAcentral is "tRNA-Leu". It matches the Rfam family "tRNA". Rfam says of the family: Transfer RNA (tRNA) molecules are approximately 80 nucleotides in length. Their secondary structure includes four short double-helical elements and three loops (D, anti-codon, and T loops). Further hydrogen bonds mediate the characteristic L-shaped molecular structure. tRNAs have two regions of fundamental functional importance: the anti-codon, which is responsible for specific mRNA codon recognition, and the 3' end, to which the tRNAs corresponding amino acid is attached (by aminoacyl-tRNA synthetases). tRNAs cope with the degeneracy of the genetic code in two manners: having more than one tRNA (with a specific anti-codon) for a particular amino acid; and 'wobble' base-pairing, i.e. permitting non-standard base-pairing at the 3rd anti-codon position. The record is from RNAcentral. Lineage: Bacteria; Bacillati; Cyanobacteriota; Cyanophyceae; Leptolyngbyales; Leptolyngbyaceae. RNAcentral also lists the same sequence under 11 other names.
GGGGGCAUGGCGGAAUGGUAGACGCUACGGACUUAAAAUCCGUUGACCGCAAGGUCGUGAGGGUUCAAGUCCCUCUGCCCCCA